AACGAACGCUGGCGGCAUGCCUAACACAUGCAAGUCGAACGAAGCCUUCGGGCUUAGUGGCGCACGGGUGCGUAACGCGUGGGAAUCUGCCCUUGGGUUCGGAAUAACAGUUAGAAAUGACUGCUAAUACCGAAUGAUGUCUUCGGACCAAAGAUUUAUCGCCCAAGGAUGAGCCUGCGUCGGAUUAGCUGGUUGGUGAGGUAAAGGCUCACCAAGGCGACGAUCCGUAGCUGGUCUGAGAGGAUGAUCAGCCACACUGGGACUGAGACACGGCCCAGACUCCUACGGGAGGCAGCAGUGGGGAAUAUUGGACAAUGGGCGAAAGCCUGAUCCAGCAAUGCCGCGUGAGUGAUGAAGGCCUUAGGGUUGUAAAGGCUCUUUACCCGGGAUGAUAAUGACAGUACCGGGAGAAUAAGCUCCGGCUAACUCCGUGCCAGCAGCCGCGGUAAU
This 450-nucleotide ribosomal RNA is filed under the name uncultured bacterium. RNAcentral's name for it is "bacterial SSU rRNA". It matches the Rfam family "Bacterial small subunit ribosomal RNA", at positions 29 to 524 of the family's 1533-position model. The record is from RNAcentral.